GGGCCACUAGCUCAACGGUCAGAGCGUCCGCCUCUUAAGCGGAAGGUUCGCGGUUCGAGUCCGCGGUGGCCCACCA
This 76-nucleotide transfer RNA is filed under the name Bradyrhizobium sp. C9. RNAcentral's name for it is "tRNA-Lys". It matches the Rfam family "tRNA". From Rfam's summary of the family: Transfer RNA (tRNA) molecules are approximately 80 nucleotides in length. Their secondary structure includes four short double-helical elements and three loops (D, anti-codon, and T loops). Lineage: Bacteria; Pseudomonadati; Pseudomonadota; Alphaproteobacteria; Hyphomicrobiales; Nitrobacteraceae. The record is from RNAcentral.